This 389-nucleotide ribosomal RNA is filed under the name Morganella morganii. RNAcentral's name for it is "partial 16S ribosomal RNA". It matches the Rfam family "Bacterial small subunit ribosomal RNA", at positions 60 to 445 of the family's 1533-position model. The record is from RNAcentral. Lineage: Bacteria; Pseudomonadati; Pseudomonadota; Gammaproteobacteria; Enterobacterales; Morganellaceae.
AGUCGGGCGGUAACAGGGNGAAGCUUGCUUCUCNGCUGACGAGCGGCGGANNGNUGAGUAAUGUAUGGGGAUCUGCCUGAUGGCGGGGGAUAACUACUGGAAACGGUAGCUAAUACCGCAUAAUGUCUUCGGACCAAAGCGGGGGACCUCCGGGCCUCGCGCCAUCAGAUGAACCCAUAUGGGAUUAGCUAGUAGGUNAGGUAACGGCUUACCUAGGCGACGAUCCCUAGCUGGUCUGAGAGGAUGAUCAGCCACACUGGGACUGANACACGGCCCAGACUCCUACGGNAGGCANCAGUGGGGANUAUUGCACAAUGGGNGCAAGCCUGAUGCANCCNUGCCNCGUGUAUGAANAANGNCUUCGGGUUGUAAAGUACUUUCAGUCGGGA